Molecule: ribosomal RNA, 445 nt
Filed under: uncultured bacterium
Lineage: Bacteria
Description: partial 16S ribosomal RNA
Rfam family: Bacterial small subunit ribosomal RNA
Source: RNAcentral
GUGAGGAAUAUUGCGCAAUGGAGGCAACUCUGACGCAGCCAUGCCGCGUGCAGGAAGAAGGCGCUACGCGUUGUAAACUGCUUUUAACCGGGAAGAAACCCCAGGACGUGUCCUGGGUUGACGGUACCGGAGGAAUAAGCACCGGCUAACUUCGUGCCAGCAGCCGCGGUAAUACGAAGGGUGCAAGCGUUAUCCGGAUUCAUUGGGUUUAAAGGGUGCGUAGGCGGAGCGUUAAGUCAGUGGUGAAAUCCUGCAGCUUAACUGUAGACUUGCCAUUGAUACUGGCGCUCUUGAGUGCGCUUGAAGUGCGCGGAAUGUGCCGUGUAGCGGUGAAAUGCUUAGAUAUGGCACAGAACACCAAUUGCGAAGGCAGCUCACUAAGGCGAUACUGACGCUGAGGCACGAAAGCGUGAGGAUCGAACAGGAUUAGAUACCCUUGUAGUCC